Peromyscus leucopus (white-footed mouse) is the source of this 3259-nucleotide long non-coding RNA. RefSeq lists it as uncharacterized. NCBI's taxonomy places the organism in Eukaryota, Metazoa, Chordata, Mammalia, Rodentia, Cricetidae. The transcript has 2 exons. The record is from RefSeq and is a predicted model, not a curated record.
UUCUGUCCGUGUUUGUUGUGUUACUGCUGCUUACAUCUUGUCUAAACAGAGAAAGCUGAGUCUAACGAGGUAAACUGGAACUAGCUUUUCAAAGGACUAUCAGUUGAAAAGAGCAGCUGACAGAGGACCGACCACCCAGAUGCCUAGGGGAGUCUCCAGGCUUCUCUCCAGGCCACGACAGUGUGGCUUUUCCCAGGACACCACCAAACAGUUAAACUAGUUGAAGCAGAUAGUUGGUAAAGGAGAGUCCUCAAGCGUUGUCAUCAGGUCCUGUCGAAUAAUGGUAUCCCCUGGGCUGGACCAGGAUAUUCUAAACCAAGUAAGAAACUACUUUGUUUGUGCAGAAAAGAUAGUUAACGAACCAAUGUUUUUCAAGCAUGUUUUCUCAUACAACUCUUCUUUGCAUCCAUGCCACCUGCUAGCAGAAAGUGACAGUGAAUGGGAAACCUGGGUCAUGGCUCAUUCUUUGGAGUUUGUAAUGAAUAAGCUUACGAUUGUCAUUCUAUUUUGUUAUAUAACACACAAAUUUAAGACAAUUUAAAAUGGCCCUAUAUUUUUUCUAGCGAAACUUUCUAACUUACACAGUAGUUUCCUGGUGAUCAGCAGGUCAUGGUAUUCUGCAGAAGGCACACUCUUUGCCAUGGUACAGAGUUUGGGAACCGCUGAUAGGGGACAGCCACAGCCUGUUCUUGUAUAAGCAAAGAAAACAAACGCCAGAGAACAGCUGUCAACAAUGUCACUCAAUCAGUGGUAGUCCACAUCACGAAGAGUGUGAAGUCAGGCUAAGGGCCCAGGUGUCCUGAGUGAUGGGUGGUGUACACCCUUCCAUUGUAAGACCCUGACUGCCGCCAUCUAAAUGCAGAUUCAUAAUUCAUAAAACAGAUUAUUGACUAAUUCAGACCACUUGGAAAUGUCAUUUAGCACAACUUAUGGCCUUAUAAGUUGGAUAAUAAGACUAAUACCUUAUUGUCUUGGUGGAGAGUAAUAAACAUUUUUAUUCAGUUCAUUUUAAAGAUGAGACAAUUAGAAGUUCAAAGAAGGUGAGUGACUUGUCCCAGAAUUAUGCACACGAUCCCGUGUGCUUGGUUAAAAUAACACCCACGGUGUAAUGAAGGUCUUAAUGAAGGUCUUCCAACAUAGAACAAAUCUAGAAGUCAUGAAGAGAAAACAGUGCCUAGUUCAUUAGGUAAAAAUGUAUAGAGCUAUAAACCUUUAUAGAGGAACAAUAAAGACAGACAAUAGAGGCAGCUUGUAGAAGGGGAAGAAGCAGCUGCAACCUUGUUCAUCUAGUAUUCAUACCAUACCUCACAGGAAAACAGAGUGUCGAGGAAAGGAGAGGGGACACACUGGAAAUGACAAGUUAGAGAGCCACUGACAGAGCGGGUAUGGCAAAUGAUGAUUAAGGUUUUUAAAAAUGACUUUUCAUUCAGAAAGAAAUUGCUAAUGGCAUUAGGAUCCCAAGCAAUCCAGAAAUGUAAGAAGAUGUUGUAUUGGUGAAGUUAUAGGAUCAGCAUUUUGCAGGCUGCUGGUAGAAAUGAUUGUCACAGUCCUGGAGCAUACUGUCCGAUUUACAAAGCUAGUUAUUAUAAACCAGUGAUUCUGCUUCCGGGAGUUUAUUCUGUACUGGUGAAUAUAAAGAUUAUAUAGCUAUUCACGUAGCAUUUGUUUUAGCAGAGGAUCAGAAACAAUCCAGCUAUUUGUCAUAGAGGAUUGAUUACAUCAACAUGAAGCAGAAUAGAACUACUCAACUUUGGGGGAAGCAAAAGAUGAUUGAGGUUUUAGGUACCUAUGAAAGUAAUCAUAUAUAUCAUUAAGGUUUUUUUUUAAGUUGUUAAAAAAAAAAGUAGUUUUUGCCAAAGAAAUUUCUGGAGAGGCAUGGAAAGAUUUAGCAUCUGCUAUUUCCUGUAGAGGCAGGAGUCAGUGUGUGGGAACUGGGUGGGUGAGAAAGAGCGGGAAUAGGAGGCUUUUCACACAAUACUUCACACCGUAUUUUUGCUUUCAAAGGAAGAAGACAUUCUGAAAGCUACUCUCAAUUUUGGGUAAAUAAGUGAAAUUUUUACUAUUUCCUAGUGGAAUACAGGGACUCCAAAAAUCAAUCUACUUUAAAACAACAAAGCAGUGAAAAACUCGUUACCUAGUUCCUAAACAAAGAAUUGUCAUAGGGUGGCACAUAUGGUGGGACACCUUCCUAACUGUCCUUUGUUCCGACUCAGGAUUUAUGCGCAAUGGCAGGACAGCCUUGUACUUCCAGCAGGUGCAACAGUCGGGACCUAACCUGACACGUGUGUGUUUGUAGCGAUUCCUAAGCACACUGGUCAGAGUUAUCGUAAGCAAUCAUUUCUCUAUUGCGCUACAGGGCUCUGCUGUACCAGUCAGAAAGUUGUGGAAUUCAAUUUUUAGGAGCUGGAAACCCAGGACUCUCCUUAAAAGCUAGUAUACAAAGCUCUGUUUUAGCCAUAAGCUUUCAUCUUCCUUGUUGAAUUUGUACAUAGCUGAUGAACAACCUUCUAAUAAAAGCCCUUUAUAAAGUUGGAAAAGUAUGAAACCCGUUCUCAACUUCUUCAUUUCCUCCUUAAUAUCCUCAGUUUCCUUUAGCCAUUUUUAAUCAUUCUUCACUUAACAGGAUGACAUCUGCUGUACCGAGUUACCAUGCCUGUGUUCUGUGUAUCUAAGAGCUUUCGCCUAUUUUAUGGAUAUAUAUAUGUUGUUAAAUCACAUUUUUGGCAGUAUGAAUUUCUAGUAACUUUAUUUUGUUUUUGAAAAAAAGAAAGAACUCGAAAGGGUACAAAUUAUCCUGUGGCUUUGAGAGUUUUCCAGUUGGCUUGUACAAAACUGAAUAGAGGAAAAGGAGAAUGUAAUUCCUUGGAUGCAGCCUUUUGUGUGAGACUGAGGGGUUCCUUAGAAGAACUCCACUUUCAUAGCCAGAAAGUGAAAUAGGUGAGGUUUUCAGGGAUGUAUUUACACAGUAGAAACUCCAUAAACUUAAAAACAGGUGCUCACAAGAAAAUGGCUGAGUAGAUUUCUGGAGACAAAACAUACGUUUUGUGGGUUUUUUUUCUCCUUGAAAAAUCCUUUGAUGGUUCAUAAAGUGAACACAGACUUUUAGAUGUCUCGUAGUAACUACAGGUAUCUACAGAUUUCCAUAUGUCUCUAUUCUUUGAGAUAUUUACAAUAACUGAUAGAUUUCACCACUCAGUUUUUUUUAAGUGACUCCAGUUUUCUUUUGUAGUUCAGAGUUAAUAGAAGAGUCAUAAUUUUG